AAUAGAGUAUAUAAUAUUAUUACACGAAGUUCUUUUCAUACUUCGCCAGGAACGCAAGAAAGGAAAGAAGGAAGAAAGACUCAAAGCCAUCAUCUUUGAGUUUCCCUGAUCAAAUUUAUUUGUCUCCUUUGGCCGUUGAGCUUCCAAUUUCAUGUUAGGGUUCUCUUUUUCCCCCCCUUCCGCACAGGAUUUAAAUCUGCAGUCCGAGAAAGAUAAAAUUUGAUAUCUUUAUGUGUAUAUAUUAACUACCACAAGAAGAAAAAAAUGAAGUUCAUUGUUAGAUCCGCUUAGCUUCUGGCUUUCCUUCAAAUUUCAGACAAUACAUAGGUUUAAACCUGCAGGCUCAUUUCAAGUCUUCCAAGUCCCAACCAUCAGAGAUCUGAUUGACUUCCGUGGUGAUGCUCCUGCUCCUAAAGUUG
This is a non-coding RNA of Nicotiana tabacum (common tobacco), 419 nucleotides long. Lineage: Eukaryota; Viridiplantae; Streptophyta; Magnoliopsida; Solanales; Solanaceae. The record is from RefSeq and is a predicted model, not a curated record.